GUGCCCUUUUAAGAUUAAUUCAGUGCUUUAAUUGGUUAGCACAGAAGGGCAAAAGAAGUCUCCAUAAAAUCCAGGCAGUAGGCUGUAAAAUCCUCUUUCAAUCCUAUCUAGAAUUGCAGCU
This 121-nucleotide small nucleolar RNA is filed under the name Dasypus novemcinctus (nine-banded armadillo). RNAcentral describes it as "Small nucleolar RNA SNORA26 (ENSDNOG00000029389.1)". It matches the Rfam family "Small nucleolar RNA SNORA26". From Rfam's summary of the family: The snoRNA HBI-6 belong to the H/ACA family of snoRNAs, guiding the pseudouridylation of position U4522 if the 28S rRNA. HBI-6 is the human orthologue of mouse MBI-6 snoRNA. Lineage: Eukaryota; Metazoa; Chordata; Mammalia; Cingulata; Dasypodidae. The record is from RNAcentral.